GAUCCACAUGCCAAGUUGAAGAAUUACUAAAAUGCCAUAUAUGAAUGUUACCCUUGCAAUCACCAGAAGCUAACGUGCCUACUUCUGUUGGACACCAAUCAAGUCCAUAUCCUUCUGAAAGAUGUCCUUUAAAACUAAAUAAUGGUUUGAUGUUCCCAUCAUUUUUCUUAGACUCCUUAUUAUAUGCACGUAGCAAUUCAUCAUUAUCAAGUGCAUUUAAUUGUUUUUCCAAAUCCCAAAUAUGUACACGUCCUAAUUCACUCCAACUUGCUGCCACAGCUUUAUUACCAAUUCUUUUAUCUAACUCUAUUAACACAACCUUGAUGCUUUAUUGGUGCAACAGACAAAAUUGGUAUAUUUGUAUCACUUUCACUAUGCAAUUCAUCAUCAUCUGAUUCAUCAUCAGAAUUAUCUUCUAUACCACAUAGAUUUUUCAUUUUCAUAACAAGGAGAUUGUUGACAUGUGUCUUGGCAGCUUGAGUUCCAGCCACAAGAUAUAUAUUCAAUGGGUAAUCUUCUCUAUUAUUACCCAAGUCAUCUAAAAUAAUAUCAAAACUAAGACAAGGAGCUCCGGAUUGGGCAUGAUGUAACAUUCGAUAUGCUGUCUUGUCCACAAUAAGCUCUUCUCCACAUUCUAAAGACUUUCCAGGAAGAUAUAUCUCAGAUUUAUUAUUUUCUACUUCAUCACUUGCAAUAGAAUCCUCUUCAUUACUAUCACUGCUGCUUUCUUCCAUAUCCUCAUCAACUUCACUCAUUUGUUCACACUCCAUUUCUUUAGAAAUUUCUUUAUAAAAAAUAGUCAUCUUAAUAAAAAUACAUCUAUAAUUAGAAAUAAAGAAAAAUUUAAAUAAUCAAAUACAUAUGCGAGUAAUCUAACCUUAGUAUGCAAUAAAGCUAUAUAUGUAUGUAUAUAAAUAUAAUGAAUAUUUUUUGAUAUUAACAUUUCUAACAUAAUAUGUUAGUUCAACAUAUUAUUUGGAAAAAUUUGUGUGUUAUAAAAUAUAUGUGUUAACAAAUUUAUCGUUAAUAUAAAAAAUUCUAUAAAUUACCUCUUACUACACACAGAUUCGAAGCACGUGGAGGAAACAAUAUCCGAGAAACGCUUUAUAGGUUAUACGUUAUAUUAACCCUUAGAGUAUUAUGGGCACAUAUAGGCGUCUGGCGACAGCUAUCG
This 1174-nucleotide unclassified non-coding RNA is filed under the name Bombus terrestris (buff-tailed bumblebee). RNAcentral's name for it is "misc RNA ENSBTSG00005036942.1". Lineage: Eukaryota; Metazoa; Arthropoda; Insecta; Hymenoptera; Apidae. The record is from RNAcentral.